RNAcentral lists this ribosomal RNA (833 nucleotides) under uncultured Flavobacterium sp. RNAcentral describes it as "bacterial SSU rRNA". It matches the Rfam family "Bacterial small subunit ribosomal RNA", at positions 23 to 862 of the family's 1533-position model. Lineage: Bacteria; Pseudomonadati; Bacteroidota; Flavobacteriia; Flavobacteriales; Flavobacteriaceae. The record is from RNAcentral.
CUCAGGAUGAACGCUAGCGGCAGGCUUAACACAUGCAAGUCGAGGGGUAUAGUUCUUCGGAACUAGAGACCGGCGCACGGGUGCGUAACGCGUAUGCAAUCUACCUUUCACAGAGGGAUAGCCCAGAGAAAUUUGGAUUAAUACCUCAUAGCAUAGUAGUCUCGCAUGAGACCACUAUUAAAGAUUUAUCGGUGAAAGAUGAGCAUGCGUCCCAUUAGUUAGUUGGUAAGGUAACGGCUUACCAAGACUACGAUGGGUAGGGGUCCUGAGAGGGAGAUCCCCCACACUGGUACUGAGACACGGACCAGACUCCUACGGGAGGCAGCAGUGAGGAAUAUUGGACAAUGGGCGCAAGCCUGAUCCAGCCAUGCCGCGUGCAGGAUGACGGUCCUAUGGAUUGUAAACUGCUUUUAUACAGGAAGAAACACCUCUACGUGUAGAGACUUGACGGUACUGUAAGAAUAAGGAUCGGCUAACUCCGUGCCAGCAGCCGCGGUAAUACGGAGGAUCCAAGCGUUAUCCGGAAUCAUUGGGUUUAAAGGGUCCGUAGGCGGUUUAGUAAGUCAGUGGUGAAAGCCCAUCGCUCAACGGUGGAACGGCCAUUGAUACUGCUAGACUUGAAUUAUUAGGAAGUAACUAGAAUAUGUAGUGUAGCGGUGAAAUGCUUAGAGAUUACAUGGAAUACCAAUUGCGAAGGCAGGUUACUACUAAUUGAUUGACGCUGAUGGACGAAAGCGUGGGUAGCGAACAGGAUUAGAUACCCUGGUAGUCCACGCCGUAAACGAUGGAUACUAGCUGUUGGGCGCAAGUUCAGUGGCUAAGCGAAAGUGAUA